CCCAAAGCGGAAAAGAAAAUAACUAUGAUUCCCUUAGUAACGGCGAGUGAACAGGGAAAAGCCCAAAUUUGUAAUCUGGCACUUUUUACAAGUGUCCGAGUUGUAAUUUGUAGAACUGUUAUCCGCGCUGGACCAUGUACAAGUCUGUUGAAAAGCAGCAUCAUUGAAGGUGAAAAUCCUGUAGAUGAUAUGGACUACCAGUGCAUUUGUGAUACGGUUUCUAAGAGUCGAGUUGUUUGGGAAUGCAGCUCAAAGUGGGUGGUAAAUUCCAUCUAAGGCUAAAUAUAAGUGAGAGACCGAUAGCAAACAAGUACCGUGAGGGAAAGAUGAAAAGAACUUUGAAAAUAGAGUUAACAGUACGUGAAAUUGCUGAAAGGGAAACGUUUGAAGUUAGUUUUGUAUUCGUUGGAUCAGCUUCGCAAGGAGUGUAUUCUGAUGAUAAGCAAGUCAACAUCAAUCUAUGAGUGUCGGAGAAGGGUUUUGAGAAUGUAGCAAUUUUUAUUAAUUGUGUUAUAGCUUGAGACUUGGAUACGAUGCUUUGGAUUGAGGAACGCGUAGUAAGCUUUGAGCGGAUUCGAAAGGAUCUCCUUACUAUGGAUGUUG
Molecule: ribosomal RNA, 603 nt
Filed under: Melampsora laricis-populina
Lineage: Eukaryota; Fungi; Basidiomycota; Pucciniomycetes; Pucciniales; Melampsoraceae
Description: Melampsora larici-populina partial large subunit ribosomal RNA
Rfam family: Eukaryotic large subunit ribosomal RNA
Source: RNAcentral